CAAUAGCGUAUAUUAACGUUGUUGCAGUUAAAAAGCUCGUAGUUGGAUUUCUGGAGGGAGCGUCGGCCCGUAUUUACGAGUGCGUGACGUCUCUGUCCAUCCUUGCGGGAAGGCACGGCAUUGAUUUGUUGUGUCGGAUCGCAUCAUUUACUGUGAAAAAAUUAGAGUGUUCAAAGCAGGCUUUCGCUUGAAUACAUUAGCAUGGAAUAAUAAGAUAGGACUUUGGUGCUAUUUUGUUGGUUGAGCCUAAAGUAAUGAUUAAUAGGGAUAGUUGGGGGCACCUGUAUUGCGUUGUCAGAGGUGAGAUUCUUGGAUUUACGCAAGACAAACAGCUGCGAAAGCGUCUGCCAAGGAUGUUUUCAUUA
Molecule: ribosomal RNA, 365 nt
Filed under: uncultured eukaryote
Lineage: Eukaryota
Description: partial 18S ribosomal RNA
Rfam family: Eukaryotic small subunit ribosomal RNA
Source: RNAcentral